GGACACAUAAUCAAUACCACCCCCUGCCCCUCCAGUGCACGUCAAUCACACACCAGUUCUUCUUCUUAACACAUCGAUUUCUGUGGAUUGAUCGCCACUGCAGGCCACAAAGAAGAGCCAAAAAAUUAAAGAGGUUUUGAUUUUUCCACUGUGGGCCCAAGAUCGUUUUUAGGAUUUUUUUGCAUCCCUGGCUCAAUUUUUAUGUAACCAUUGAAAGAGAGUGAAAGAAAUAGGAGAGACGGAUGCACUGUCCAGCUACAGCUCAGCGUAAUCGCUCACAGGGUCAGACAACUGAGCGCUUACUCCUGCUCUCCCCCAUCUCUCCCUCUCAUGUUGUCAUGCACGUGCCAGACACACAGACAGACUCGAACCAACAAACACUGGGCAUUGUUAAUCAUGCCAGGUUUUGCUGAGGGUGCCCCGAAAGGCCAGUCCAUAAUGCUGUUUAAGGUUUUGGGGGGGGGUUUGUGGUCAUGUACUGAUCCUUUGCUUCACUGGCCAGUCAGUCCUCUCAUGUAACACUCUCUCUCCUCUCAUUAUCUCCUGUUUGCUCUGAUUCUCAAAGUCUUCCCCUUCAGCAGUAUCGGUGUGCAUGUGACAAAGGAUUUGAGAGCUUAUUCAGUACAUGAUGCAUGAUUUUUUUUUUUUUUUUUUUUGGAAAGACACAAAGAGACUUCAAAACCUUCAAAUGCUGGAGGUGUUAAAUCAAAUCUGAAAUAUUGUGGGAGGAAGAGAGCGAGAGGAAUUAAAAGAGUGGGGGUUGACUCAAGCUGAGCAGCAGGAAAAAUAAAAGGAAUAUUAUAACGAAGCCAAAAUGGUUCAUUAUUCAGAUUUUCAUUUACUAUGAGAAUCUCCCAUAUCCGCUGUCUCUCUCAAACGUGCUUUCCACAUCUCUGGUUUGAGUUUGUGUUUCCAGCUCUCAGAAUAAUUCUCUAUAUUUCGAAGGCUUGAACUUUGGAUUUUUCAUUCACUUAAGGUAUUAAAAGUAUGCUUGAAAGACUCUAUUGUUUCAAUGGGUUGCACUGCAUGGUUCAGAAUUUACACUACUAAUGCCUUAUUGUGCAAAUAAGUCUGGAGAAAACAGACUGCUCAUGUUUGCGUCCACUAAAUCCCAUAUUGAUAGAAUACUAUCUUUGUGAAUAUUUAUGGUCCCCAUUUUCGAGGUAUCCUUGUAAUCUUAAAAUAAUGCAGUCUCAGUAAUGCAGGAUUUGCAGUAUUUAGUUGGUUGUUAUAUAAAUAGCUCGAGUCUAUUCAUAUUUACAUUAGAUUUUGUUUUGCAUCUGGCAUGACAAUGCAAGUCUUCUUUUUGCAUGAAAGUAGCCUAAUAGCCAACAGCAGUCUUCUGCUGCUGUUGUCCAUCUACAAUAGCUUAAAGAAGCCUGGUCAUUUUCCUCUGACCUCUGGUAUCAAUAAG
Astatotilapia calliptera (eastern happy) is the source of this 1414-nucleotide long non-coding RNA. The record is from Ensembl. Lineage: Eukaryota; Metazoa; Chordata; Actinopteri; Cichliformes; Cichlidae.